UUUCUUUUUAGGUUCAGUAAUGUGUCUUCUUGUUAUGCAGUGUUACUCUUCUCUAUUUUCUUGUGUUUCAUGUUGCCUGUCAAUGCCUCUUUGGAGAUACACUGAGUGAAAUGUAAACUGAUGUUCUUUGACCAAGUGUGAUGGAAAAUGAAGAUGUAGGCUCCACUACAGCUAUUGUUCGAAGCGGGAAGGACCAUUUUGACUAUUUGUCAAC
This 214-nucleotide long non-coding RNA is filed under the name Gallus gallus (chicken). The record is from RNAcentral. Lineage: Eukaryota; Metazoa; Chordata; Aves; Galliformes; Phasianidae.